This 73-nucleotide transfer RNA is filed under the name Stegodyphus mimosarum. It matches the Rfam family "tRNA". From Rfam's summary of the family: Transfer RNA (tRNA) molecules are approximately 80 nucleotides in length. Their secondary structure includes four short double-helical elements and three loops (D, anti-codon, and T loops). Lineage: Eukaryota; Metazoa; Arthropoda; Arachnida; Araneae; Eresidae. The record is from Rfam by way of RNAcentral.
GCCUUCGUGGUGUAAUGAUCAGCAUUCUCGGCCCGUAUUCGAGAGGUCCGAGGUUCGAGUCCCGGCGAGGACA